AUUGAACGCUGGCGGCAUGCUUUACACAUGCAAGUCGAACGGUAACAGGGAGCUUGCUCCGCUGACGAGUGGCGAACGGGUGAGUAAUGCAUCGGAACGUGCCGUGUAAUGGGGGAUAACGUAGCGAAAGUUACGCUAAUACCGCAUACGCCCUGAGGGGGAAAGUGGGGGACCGCAAGGCCUCACGUUAUACGAGCGGCCGAUGUCGGAUUAGCUAGUUGGUGGGGUAAAGGCCUACCAAGGCGACGAUCCGUAGCGGGUCUGAGAGGAUGAUCCGCCACACUGGGACUGAGACACGGCCCAGACUCCUACGGGAGGCAGCAGUGGGGAAUUUUGGACAAUGGGGGGCAACCCUGAUCCAGCCAUGCCGCGUGAGUGAAGAAGGCCUU
RNAcentral lists this ribosomal RNA (389 nucleotides) under uncultured bacterium. RNAcentral's name for it is "bacterial SSU rRNA". It matches the Rfam family "Bacterial small subunit ribosomal RNA", at positions 30 to 418 of the family's 1533-position model. The record is from RNAcentral.